GGGGCUGUAGCUCAGUGGAAGGGCGCUCACCUUUCAUGUGGGAGAUGCUGGGUUCGAUCCUCAGCACCA
Molecule: transfer RNA, 69 nt
Filed under: Ictidomys tridecemlineatus (thirteen-lined ground squirrel)
Lineage: Eukaryota; Metazoa; Chordata; Mammalia; Rodentia; Sciuridae
Description: Spermophilus tridecemlineatus (thirteen-lined ground squirrel) tRNA
Rfam family: tRNA
About the family: Transfer RNA (tRNA) molecules are approximately 80 nucleotides in length. Their secondary structure includes four short double-helical elements and three loops (D, anti-codon, and T loops).
Source: Rfam by way of RNAcentral